This is a non-coding RNA of Notechis scutatus (mainland tiger snake), 3204 nucleotides long. Lineage: Eukaryota; Metazoa; Chordata; Lepidosauria; Squamata; Elapidae. The record is from RefSeq and is a predicted model, not a curated record.
GGCCCCGCCCAUCUCCGCAGCCUUCCCGAGGCGCGAGGUGACGCUGCGCGAGAGACCCCACCCCCACCCCGCCCGCGGCAGGUGGAGGCGGGCCAGCCCGGGCGGGAGCGCAGGAAGCCGCCGCUGCCGGGCUGGGGAAGGGGCCGGGCCGGCCUCCAGCAGCAGCAGCAGCCCGCCGCCCCUCGCGCGGGAUCCCGGGAGCCAGGCCUCGGCCGCGCUACCAUGGCGGCUCUGCUGCUGCAGGACGAGGCGGAGGAAGCGGCGGGCGGCGGCGGCGGCACCGGCGACCUGGAGGUGAACCCUUUCGACGGGCUGCCCUUCUCCUCCCGCUACUACGAGCUGCUGAGCCGCCGCCGCCGCCUCCCCAUCUGGGCCGCCCGCUUCGCCUUCCUGGAGCAGCUGGAGAGCAGCGCCGGCCUCGUCCUGGUCUCGGGCGAGCCGGGCACCGGCAAGAGCACGCAGGUGCCCCAGUGGUGCGCAGAGCAAGCCCUCUCGGUGCAGUUUGCCCACGGCCGAGUGGUCUGCACCCAGCCUCAUAGUUUGGCAGCCCUCAGCCUGGCCCUGCGUGUGGCAGAUGAGAUGGACCUCAAUGUGGGCCACGAGGUGGGCUAUUGCGUGCCCCACGAGGACUGCUGCGUCUCAGAGACCCUGCUCAGGUUCUGCUUGGACGAAGUCCUGUUGCAAGAGAUGACCUCGGACCCCCUUCUGCGGCAGUACGGGGUGGUGGUGCUAGACGAAGCUCAGGAGCGCACGGUGGCCACGGAGCUGCUCCUGGGGCUGCUCAAGGACGUGCAGCACCAGCGCCCGGAUCUCCGCUUGGUGGUGGUGACCGAGCCUCUCCUGGAAGAGCAGCUGUGCCAGUUCUACCAGGAUGCCCCCGUGGUGAGGGUCCCGGGCCUUGGCCCCGCGCCACGCUUGACCUACAGAGACCCCCUCCCAGGGGGCCACGUGCCUGCUGCCUGCCAAGCCGUGCUGGAGCUUCAUCGACAAAAGGAACCUGGCGACGUAAUGGUCUUCAUGGCCAGUGAGCAGGAGAUCAAGGAGGUGUGCGAGGCCCUCCGAGCAGAGGCUGCGGUCCUAGAGGCCGGCCUGGGACCCCUGCUGGUGCUGCCUCUGCAUGCGGCUGUGGGGAGGGACAGCCAGAAGUUGUAUGAGGACAGCCUGGGUGAGCGGGCCCGCCGAGUCAUUGUCACCCACUGGCUGGCAGACGCAGCCUUCUCGGUGGGCAGCGUAAGGCACGUCAUCGAUACGGGGACGGAGCUACGCAACGUGUACAACCCCCGGAUCCGGGCUGCGUCACAGGAGUUGCGCCCCAUCAGCCGGAGGCAGGCAGAGGCCCGACGGCUCAGGGCUGCUGGCGCUCCUCCAGGGACCUGUUUGCGCCUCUAUUCAGAGGCCUGCUACGAGCAGAGGCUGCCGGCCGUCUCCCCCACUCACCUCAUGGAGGCCGACCUUCGCCGCCCCAUCCUGCUGCUCAAGAGGCUGGACAUUGCGGACGUGGGCCAGUGUGACUUUCUCGACAGGCCAGCCCCCGAGUCUUUGAUGCAGGCCCUGGAGGACCUGGACUAUCUGGCUGCCCUGGAUGAUGACGGGAACCUCUCCGAGGUGGGCAUCAUUAUGUCGGAGUUCCCUUUGGAUCCCCAGCUAGCCAAGGCCCUCCUGGCCUCCUGCGAGUUCGACUGCGUGGAGGAGAUGCUGACUCUGGCCGCCAUGCUGACUGCCUGGCCUUGUUUCCAGACUCCGGUGACACGCUGGGAGGACGCGGUGGUGGCGCGGCAGCAGGCUCUGCUCCACCCAGCCGGGGAUCACUUCACGCUCAUCAAUGUCUUCAAUGCGUUCCACCAGCAGAGCGACCCAGAAAGCUGGUGUCGGAAACACGCGGUCAGUGAGGCAGCCUUGCAGCUGGCCGGAGCGGUUCGGACAGAGCUCUUGGAUGUGAUGCAGCGGAUUGAGCUGCCGGUCUCCCCACCAGCCUUUGGCAGCGACAGCAACAUCCUGCAGCUGAAGCGAGCCCUCCUCACUGGCUUCUUCCUCAAGGUCGCCCGGGACAUCGACGGCUCAGGCAACUACCUGCUGCUGACCCACAAGCACUUGGCCCAGCUGCCCCCCAGCUGCUGCUAUCGACUGCGCCGCCCACCCCCACGGCCUCCCUCUUGGGUGCUCUACCACGAAUUCACUGUCUCCCAGGACAACUGCCUGAGGAUCGUCUCUGAGAUCCCGCCAGAAUUUGUGGCUGAACUGGCUCCCCAAUACUUCCUGAGCAAUUUGCCCCCCAGCGAGAGCCGGGACUUGCUGAUGGAGCUGCGGGGGAAGCUGGCGGAGGACGCCCCCCUCCCGGAUCAAGGGGAGAACCCCCAGACCCCCAAAGCGGCUGAGGAUGCGGGAGAUCCCUGUGUGCUGCAGUGACCCUGGCGGAAGAAGGGAAGAUGGCUGAGUUCAUGGCCGCUGCAGGCGCCCGGAGGCUUUGGAACUGCUGGGGGCUGCCCAGGUCUCCCCCAGGGCAUGGCUGAGGCCAUCUGCAUGCCUGCUAGGCUCCUGGGUAGAAGAGAGGGCAGGGCAGGACAGGGGAGCCCCAAACGGGCUGUUUUCAGGACCGCAUUUUAGCUGGGGAGGGAAGUAGGGGCUGCUUCCAUGUGGGCAGAGACAGCCGGCUGUGGAUCUCUUCUGGGGCCUGAUGGCCUUUUGGGGGGGGGGCACUCAGAGAGAAAGGCAUAAGACAGGUGGGCUGUCUUUGUUCACCUUGGCGAUCUGCUCUUCAAUUGGGUGCCUUGGCAAGCAGUGGGGUACCCCACUAGUCUGCUUUGGGGGGGCGGGUGCUGUAGAUCCUGGAGACCCCCUAGAUCCCUACCCACCCCAGAUUCUCCAAAGGGAUCCUUUCCCUUUUGAGCAGUUUGUAGAAGCGGAGGGUGGGGGCUUAUACUUCCUCCUCCCUUGGUUUUAGCUUCAGCGGGGGUCCCUGCUGACUAUCCAGAGUGUUUUGUGAACGGGGGAGGGGGGGAGCCUGGGGUACGGCUCUUGCCUUUUCUGUAUGUGCCUCAAAAGUGUUCCAUGUACCCCUCCCCCUGCCCGACUUGGGAACAGUGGGACCAGUGGAUAUAUGGAGAGUGUAGGGCAAAGGCCAGCAGGCUCUGUGGGGCCUGGCCUCCAUUGCUCUGCUGCUCUGGAUAAUCCUGCUUGUAGGAAUUAAAUUCUUUUAAACAUCCA